RNAcentral lists this ribosomal RNA (492 nucleotides) under uncultured bacterium. RNAcentral describes it as "partial 16S ribosomal RNA". It matches the Rfam family "Bacterial small subunit ribosomal RNA", at positions 29 to 507 of the family's 1533-position model. The record is from RNAcentral.
AGUGAACGCUGGCGGUAGGCCUAACACAUGCAGGUCGAACGGCAGCACAGUAAGAGCUUGCUCUUACGGGUGGCGAGUGGCGGACGGGUGAGGAAUACAUCGGAAUCUACUUUUUCGUGGGGGAUAACGUAGGGAAACUUACGCUAAUACCGCAUACGACCUACGGGUGAAAGCAGUGGAUCUUCGGACCUUGCGCGACUGAAUGAGCCGAUGUCGGAUUAGCUUGUUGGCGGGGUAAAGGCCCACCAAGGCGACGAUCCGUAGCUGGUCUGAGAGGAUGAUCAGCCACACUGGAACUGAGACACGGUCCAGACUCCUACGGGAGGCAGCAGUGGGGAAUAUUGGACAAUGGGCGAAAGCCUGAUCCAGCCAUACCGCGUGGGUGAAGAAGGCCUUCGGGUUGUAAAGCCCUUUUGUUGGGAAAGAAAAGCAGCAGGUUAAUACCCCGCUGUUCUGACGGUACCCAAAGAAUAAGCACCGGCUAACUUCGUG